RNAcentral lists this ribosomal RNA (253 nucleotides) under uncultured bacterium. RNAcentral describes it as "partial 16S ribosomal RNA". It matches the Rfam family "Bacterial small subunit ribosomal RNA", at positions 524 to 776 of the family's 1533-position model. The record is from RNAcentral.
GACGAACCGUGCAAACGUUGUUCGGAAUCACUGGGCUUAAAGGGCGCGUAGGCGGCUUGUCAAGUCAGGGGUGAAAUCCUGCAGCUCAACUGUAGAAGUGCCUUUGAUACUGACGAGCUCGAGGGAGGUAGGGGUGCGUGGAACUUCUGGUGGAGCGGUGAAAUGCGUUGAUAUCAGAAGGAACGCCGGUGGCGAAAGCGACGCACUGGACCUUUUCUAACGCUGAGGCGCGAAAGCCAGGGGAGCAAACGGG